Molecule: long non-coding RNA, 206 nt
Filed under: Elaeis guineensis (African oil palm)
Lineage: Eukaryota; Viridiplantae; Streptophyta; Magnoliopsida; Arecales; Arecaceae
Description: long non-coding RNA (EGUI_LNC007415)
Source: RNAcentral
CGAUCAAAAAAGAAUUUGGGUCAUAUUACAGGCACAAAAAGUUAUGCUCGUAUAAGAGUUGAGGUGGUAUAAAUUUAUAAUAAUAUUAGCAAAUGUGUUUAGUUUCAUUCUAUUUUUCUUUAUGCAUCUUUCUCUUUUUCUUAUUGACAUAUGUAAAAAUAUUUUGUAUGUUAAAUGAAUAAUGAUAAAUUUUUGAUCAUUCAUGU